RNAcentral lists this ribosomal RNA (232 nucleotides) under uncultured bacterium. RNAcentral describes it as "partial 16S ribosomal RNA". It matches the Rfam family "Bacterial small subunit ribosomal RNA", at positions 524 to 753 of the family's 1533-position model. The record is from RNAcentral.
UACGAAGGGGGCUAGCGUUGCUCGGAAUUACUGGGCGUAAAGGGCGCGUAGGCGGCACUGUUAGUCAGGCGUGAAAGUCCUGGGCUCAACCUGGGAACUGCGCUUGAUACGGCAGAGCUAGAGGAUGGAAGAGGGUCGCGGAAUUCCCAGUGUAGAGGUGAAAAUUCGUAGAUAUUGGGAAGAAACACCGGUGGCGAAGGCGGCGACCUGGUCCAUUACUGACGCUGAGGCG